UGUUGGUCCGAAGGUGGUGAGUUAUCUCACUUGAUUGUUCAUGGUCAGUUACAGAUGGAACUCCUUUUUCUACUGCUUUCCCCUUUCUCAGUAUUGCACUUGACUAAUCUUUA
RNAcentral lists this Y RNA (113 nucleotides) under Microcebus murinus (gray mouse lemur). Its description in RNAcentral is "Y RNA (ENSMICG00000045496.1)". It matches the Rfam family "Y RNA". Rfam says of the family: Y RNAs are components of the Ro ribonucleoprotein particle (Ro RNP), in association with Ro60 and La proteins. The Y RNAs and Ro60 and La proteins are well conserved, but the function of the Ro RNP is not known. The record is from Rfam by way of RNAcentral. Lineage: Eukaryota; Metazoa; Chordata; Mammalia; Primates; Cheirogaleidae.